RNAcentral lists this ribosomal RNA (627 nucleotides) under Heterosigma akashiwo. Its description in RNAcentral is "partial Eukaryotic small subunit ribosomal RNA". It matches the Rfam family "Eukaryotic small subunit ribosomal RNA", at positions 1163 to 1809 of the family's 1831-position model. Lineage: Eukaryota; Raphidophyceae; Chattonellales; Chattonellaceae. The record is from RNAcentral.
GGCACCACCAGGAGUGGAGCCUGCGGCUUAAUUUGACCCAACACGGGGAAACUCACCAGGUCCAGACACAAUAAGGAUUGACAGAUUGAGAGCUCUUUCUUGAUUUUGUGGGUGGUGGUGCAUGGCCGUUCUUAGUUGGUGGAGUGAUUUGUCUGCUUAAUUGCGAUAACGAACGAGACCUUAACCUACUAAAUAGUGCUGUUAGCUUUUGCUGAUAUUGACACUUCUUAGAGGGACUAUCGAUUUCAAGUCGAUGGAAGUUUGAGGCAAUAACAGGUCUGUGAUGCCCUUAGACGUUCUGGGCCGCACGCGCGCUACACUGACGGAGCCAGCGAGUACUAACCUUGGCCGAGAGGUCUGGGUAAUCUUGUGAAACUCCGUCGUGCUGGGGAUAGAGCAUUGCAAUUAUUGCUCUUCAACGAGGAAUUCCUAGUAAGCGCAAGUCAUCAGCUUGCGUUGAUUACGUCCCUGCCCUUUGUACACACCGCCCGUCGCUACUACCGAUUGAAUGGCUUAGUGAGGACUCCGGAUUGGUUCAGAGUAGAGGGCAACUUCAACUUGGAACCGAAAAGCUGUUCAAACUUGGUCAUUUAGAGGAAGUAAAAGUCGUAACAAGGUUUCCGUAGG